UGGGGGAUAUUGCACAAUGGGCGAAAGCCUGAUGCAGCGACGCCGCGUGGGGGAUGAAGGCCUUCGGGUUGUAAACUUCUUUUGCUCCGAACAAGGCAUGCUAAUGGGUGUGUUGAGCGUAGGGGUUGAUUAGCGUCGGCUAACUACGUGCCAGCAGCCGCGGUAAUACGUAGGGCGCGAGCGUUGUCCGGGAUUAUUGGGCGUAAAGGGCCUGUAGGUGCCUGGUUGCGCAUGCCGUGAAAGCUCAUGGCUUAACGGUGGGUUUGCGGUGGAUACGGGCUGACUUACGUGCCGUAGGGGAGGCUAGAAUUCCUGGUGUAGCGGUAAAAUGCGCAGAUAUCAGGAGGAAUACCGGUUGCGAAGGCGGGUCUCUGGGCUGUUACUGACACUGAGGAGCAAAAGCAUGGGGGGCGAACAGG
RNAcentral lists this ribosomal RNA (419 nucleotides) under bacterium. RNAcentral's name for it is "partial 16S ribosomal RNA". It matches the Rfam family "Bacterial small subunit ribosomal RNA", at positions 355 to 776 of the family's 1533-position model. The record is from RNAcentral.